RNAcentral lists this long non-coding RNA (211 nucleotides) under Vigna radiata. RNAcentral's name for it is "long non-coding RNA (VRAD_LNC008933)". The record is from RNAcentral. Lineage: Eukaryota; Viridiplantae; Streptophyta; Magnoliopsida; Fabales; Fabaceae.
GGGGAGAGUGAGUGAAUGAAUUUGAGAGAUUUGAAGAUAAAUUUUUUGUUGUUUAUUUGAGUGAAUUUGGAGGUAAGUGAGAAUCAAUUUGAAACUAAAGUUUAUGAGAAUUAGUAUAAAAUUUGACCAAUAUGAUAGAUAAAAAAUAUUUAAUUGGUAGAACUUGAAUAUUACUAAAAUAUCUUUAGUAGUAAAAAUAUUAUAUAAAAUG